UGGUGGAGUGAUUUGUCUGGUUAAUUCCGUUAACGAACGAGACCCCCGCCUGCUAAAUAAUCGUGAUAAUGUUUAUUCAUUGGGCACGGUUUCUUAGAGGGACUUCUUGUGUUUAACUGGAGGAAGUUAGGGGCGAAUAACA
RNAcentral lists this ribosomal RNA (142 nucleotides) under uncultured eukaryote. RNAcentral's name for it is "partial 18S ribosomal RNA". It matches the Rfam family "Eukaryotic small subunit ribosomal RNA", at positions 1299 to 1453 of the family's 1831-position model. The record is from RNAcentral.